AGCAAUUGCAUGCUUCUUUGUUUAAUUUGUAACAAAGCCUUACAGACAGGUGCAAAUAGUAAAUCUUCUUUUGCAACUCAGAACUUAUUGAAUAUGAGAUUUUGGUACAUGUAAGAAGAAAUAUG
This is a small nucleolar RNA of Perognathus longimembris pacificus (Pacific pocket mouse), 125 nucleotides long. RefSeq annotates it as small nucleolar RNA SNORA40. NCBI's taxonomy places the organism in Eukaryota, Metazoa, Chordata, Mammalia, Rodentia, Heteromyidae. The transcript has a single exon. The record is from RefSeq and is a predicted model, not a curated record.